This 1053-nucleotide ribosomal RNA is filed under the name fungal sp. 229c4a. RNAcentral describes it as "eukaryotic LSU rRNA". The stretch from base 487 to 1053 matches the Rfam family "Eukaryotic large subunit ribosomal RNA", at positions 1 to 582 of the family's 3401-position model. The record is from RNAcentral. Lineage: Eukaryota; Fungi.
UUACCGAGUUUACAACUCCCAAACCCAUGUGAACAUACCUAUUGUUGCUUCGGCGGGAUUGCCCCGGGCGCCUCGUGUGCCCCGGAUCAGGCGCCCGCCUAGGAAACUUAAACUCUUGUUUUAUUUUGGAAUCUUCUGAGUAGUUUUUACAAAUAAAUAAAAACUUUCAACAACGGAUCUCUUGGUUCUGGCAUCGAUGAAGAACGCAGCGAAAUGCGAUAAGUAAUGUGAAUUGCAGAAUUCAGUGAAUCAUCGAAUCUUUGAACGCACAUUGCGCCCGCCAGUAUUCUGGCGGGCAUGCCUGUCUGAGCGUCAUUUCAACCCUCAUGCCCCUAGGGCGUGGUGUUGGGGAUCGGCCAAAGCCCGCGAGGGACGGCCGGCCCCUAAAUCUAGUGGCGGACCCGUCGUGGCCUCCUCUGCGAAGUAGUGAUAUUCCGCAUCGGAGAGCGACGAGCCCCUGCCGUUAAACCCCCAACUUUCCAAGGUUGACCUCAGAUCAGGUAGGAAUACCCGCUGAACUUAAGCAUAUCAAUAAGCGGAGGAAAAGAAACCAACAGGGAUUGCCCUAGUAACGGCGAGUGAAGCGGCAACAGCUCAAAUUUGAAAUCUGGCGCAAGCCCGAGUUGUAAUUUGUAGAGGAUGUUUCUGGCGACGUGCCUUCCGAGUUCCCUGGAACGGGACGCCAUAGAGGGUGAGAGCCCCGUACGGUUGGAUGCCUAGCCUCUGUGAAACUCCUUCGACGAGUCGAGUAGUUUGGGAAUGCUGCUCUAAAUGGGAGGUAUACGUCUUCUAAAGCUAAAUACCGGCCAGAGACCGAUAGCGCACAAGUAGAGUGAUCGAAAGAUGAAAAGCACUUUGAAAAGAGGGUUAAAAAGUACGUGAAAUUGUUGAAAGGGAAGCGUUCAUGACCAGACUUGGGCAGGUUGAUCAUCCGUGGUUCUCCGCGGUGCACUCUGCCUGCCCAGGCCAGCAUCAGUUCGCCCCGGGGGAUAAAGGUUUUGGGAAUGUGGCUCCCUCGGGAGUGUUAUAGCCCACUGCGUAAUACCCUGGGGU